UCCCUUGUGGUCCAGUGGUUAGGAUUCCAUGCUUCCAAUGCCAGGGCCCAGGUUCGAUCCCUGGUUGGGGAA
This 72-nucleotide transfer RNA is filed under the name Bos taurus (domestic cattle). It matches the Rfam family "tRNA". Rfam says of the family: Transfer RNA (tRNA) molecules are approximately 80 nucleotides in length. Their secondary structure includes four short double-helical elements and three loops (D, anti-codon, and T loops). RNAcentral also lists the same sequence under 3 other names. Lineage: Eukaryota; Metazoa; Chordata; Mammalia; Artiodactyla; Bovidae. The record is from Rfam by way of RNAcentral.